RNAcentral lists this transfer RNA (74 nucleotides) under Bacteriophage sp. Its description in RNAcentral is "tRNA-OTHER". It matches the Rfam family "tRNA". Rfam says of the family: Transfer RNA (tRNA) molecules are approximately 80 nucleotides in length. Their secondary structure includes four short double-helical elements and three loops (D, anti-codon, and T loops). RNAcentral also lists the same sequence under 1 other name. The record is from RNAcentral.
GCAGCGCUGGUGUAAUUGGCGCAUACCAGCUUUCAAAGCUGAUGGUACGGGUUCAAGACCCGUGCGCUGCUCCA